GAGAAUCCCGUCCACCGAUUGACUAAGGUUUCCAGAGGAAGGCUCGUCCGCUCUGGGUUAGUCGGGUCCUAAGCUGAGGCCGACAGGCGUAGGCGAUGGAUAACAGGUUGAUAUUCCUGUACCACCUAUAAUCGUUUUAAUCGAUGAGGGGACGCAGUAGGAUAGGCGAAGCGUACGAUUGGAUUGUACGUCUAAGCAGUGAGAUUGAGUGUUAGGCAAAUCCGGCACUCUUAAGAUUGAGCUGUGAUGGGGAGAGGAAAUUGUUUCCUCGAGUCGUUGAUUUCACACUGCCG
This 293-nucleotide ribosomal RNA is filed under the name Staphylococcus hominis. RNAcentral describes it as "partial 23S ribosomal RNA". It matches the Rfam family "Bacterial large subunit ribosomal RNA", at positions 1323 to 1610 of the family's 2925-position model. The record is from RNAcentral. Lineage: Bacteria; Bacillati; Bacillota; Bacilli; Caryophanales; Staphylococcaceae.